Molecule: unclassified non-coding RNA, 171 nt
Filed under: uncultured Penicillium
Lineage: Eukaryota; Fungi; Ascomycota; Eurotiomycetes; Eurotiales; Aspergillaceae
Description: sequence contains ITS1
Source: RNAcentral
CCGAGUGAGGGCCCUCUGGGUCCAACCUCCCACCCGUGUUUAUUUACCUUGUUGCUUCGGCGGGCCCGCCUCACGGCCGCCGGGGGCACCCGCCCCCGGGCCCGUGCCCGCCGAAGACACCAAUGAACUCUGUCUGAAGAUUGCACUCUGAGCGAUUAGCUAAAUCAGUUA